GCUUAGAGUUUGAUCCUGGCUCAGAUUGAACGCUGGCGGCAUGCUUUACACAUGCAAGUCGAACGGUAACAGGUCUUCGGAUGCUGACGAGUGGCGAACGGGUGAGUAAUACAUCGGAACGUGCCUAGUAGUGGGGGAUAACUACUCGAAAGAGUAGCUAAUACCGCAUGAGAUCUACGGAUGAAAGCAGGGGACCUUCGGGCCUUGUGCUACUAGAGCGGCUGAUGGCAGAUUAGGUAGUUGGUGGGGUAAAGGCUUACCAAGCCUGCGAUCUGUAGCUGGUCUGAGAGGACGACCAGCCACACUGGGACUGAGACACGGCCCAGACUCCUACGGGAGGCAGCAGUGGGGAAUUUUGGACAAUGGGCGAAAGCCUGAUCCAGCAAUGCCGCGUGCAGGAUGAAGGCCCUCGGGUUGUAAACUGCUUUUGUACGGAACGAAAAGCCUGGGGCUAAUAUCCCCGGGUCAUGACGGUACCGUAAGAAUAAGCACCGGCUAACUACGUGCCAGCAGCCGCGGUAAUACGUAGGGUGCAAGCGUUAAUCGGAAUUACUGGGCGUAAAGCGUGCGCAGGCGGUUUUGUAAGACAGUGGUGAAAUCCCCGGGCUCACCUGGGAACUGCCAUUGUGACUGCAAGGCUAGAGUGCGGCAGAGGGGGAUGGAAUUCCGCGUGUAGCAG
Molecule: ribosomal RNA, 679 nt
Filed under: uncultured bacterium
Lineage: Bacteria
Description: bacterial SSU rRNA
Rfam family: Bacterial small subunit ribosomal RNA
Source: RNAcentral